AUCCCAUGAUGAGGGCACUUAUGAAGUAAUUCUUUAAAUCUCUCUCAUGCCUCGUACAAGGAUUCGUCAUCCAAUUGUUGGAAAAUGGUUAUCUCAUUUUGCAACU
Molecule: non-coding RNA, 106 nt
Organism: Gossypium arboreum
Lineage: Eukaryota; Viridiplantae; Streptophyta; Magnoliopsida; Malvales; Malvaceae
Source: Rfam